GCCCUGGGGACAGCGAUCUCCCCACGAGGCGACAUGCCGAAGCAUCGCGUCCUGCCAACCGCAAAGGACGCCAUCCAUG
RNAcentral lists this non-coding RNA (79 nucleotides) under unclassified sequences. RNAcentral's name for it is "chrB RNA". It matches the Rfam family "chrB-a RNA". The record is from RNAcentral.